Molecule: ribosomal RNA, 450 nt
Filed under: uncultured bacterium
Lineage: Bacteria
Description: partial 16S ribosomal RNA
Rfam family: Bacterial small subunit ribosomal RNA
Source: RNAcentral
GUGGGGAAUUUUGGACAAUGGGCGCAAGCCUGAUCCAGCAAUGCCGCGUGCAGGAAGAAGGCCUUCGGGUUGUAAACUGCUUUUGUACGGAACGAAACGGUCCGGGUUAAUACCCUGGGCUAAUGACGGUACCGUAAGAAUAAGCACCGGCUAACUACGUGCCAGCAGCCGCGGUAAUACGUAGGGUGCAAGCGUUAAUCGGAAUUACUGGGCGUAAAGCGUGCGCAGGCGGUUUUGUAAGACAGGCGUGAAAGCCCCGGGCUCAACCUGGGAAUUGCGCUUGUGACUGCAAGGCUGGAGUGCGGCAGAGGGGGAUGGAAUUCCGCGUGUAGCAGUGAAAUGCGUAGAUAUGCGGAGGAACACCGAUGGCGAAGGCAAUCCCCUGGGCCUGCACUGACGCUCAUGCACGAAAGCGUGGGGAGCAAACAGGAUUAGAUACCCCUGUAGUCC